AGAGUUUGAUCCUGGCUCAGGACGAACGCUGGCGGCGGGCUUAACACAUGCAAGUUGAAGGAGAAGCGAUUCCUUCGGGAAUUGUGGAGACUGGCGCACGGGUGAGUAACGCGUAGACAACCUGCCUAUAGCUGGGGGAUAACAUCGGGAAACCGGUGCUAAUACCGCAUGAUGCAGCGGGGCCGCAUGGCCACAGUUGUUAAAGGUGCCUUCGGGUGCGGCUAUAGAUGGGUCUGCGUGCCAUUAGCUGGUUGGUAGGGUAACGGCCUACCAAGGCGAUGAUGGCUAGGGGGUCUGAGAGGAUGAUCCCCCACACUGGGACUGAGACACGGCCCAGACUCCUACGGGAGGCAGCAGUGAGGAAUCUUGCGCAAUGGGGGAAACCCUGACGCAGCCACGCCGCGUGCCGGAAGACGGCCCUAUGGGUUGUAAACGGCUUUUGUUUGGGAAGAACUGUCCUGUUUCGAUGGGACUUGACGGUACCAAACGAAUAAGCACCGGCUAACUCCGUGCCAGCAGCCGCGGUAAUACGGAGGGUGCAAGCGUUGUCCGGAAUCAUUGGGUGUAAAGGGUGCGCAGGCGGGCACUUAAGUCGGGGGUGAAAUCUUGCCGCUUAACGGUAAAAUGGCCCCCGAUACUGGGUGUCUUGAAUCUGACA
Molecule: ribosomal RNA, 658 nt
Filed under: uncultured bacterium
Lineage: Bacteria
Description: bacterial SSU rRNA
Rfam family: Bacterial small subunit ribosomal RNA
Source: RNAcentral